Papaver somniferum (opium poppy) is the source of this 368-nucleotide long non-coding RNA. RefSeq lists it as uncharacterized. The record is from RefSeq and is a predicted model, not a curated record. The transcript has 4 exons. NCBI's taxonomy places the organism in Eukaryota, Viridiplantae, Streptophyta, Magnoliopsida, Ranunculales, Papaveraceae.
UGAAUCCAUUAAAUCCGUUAAUGUUUUUCUGUUUUUCUUCAUUGCAGUCAAUAAGAUUAAAACAUACCCAUGAAGAAUCUGUACAAACGCUCCAUUAUAAACCCAGACGCGUGAAAAAUAUGUCAAAUCCAUUAGAAUCCCAGGCCUUCUACGUGUUCGCAACACACAAUCAAGUUAUUUCAGGUCAGAGAAACUGGCCAAACCAACAAAUUGUGCUCAAUCAGUCUAUGUGAUUCAAACUCCAUGCUUAAUGAGGUAAAUGGUGAAUUAUGCCAAUGCAUAUUUCACCUUGGAUGAAAAGGUACCAAUCUGGAAGGUUUGCAGCACCACGUAUUUUCUAAAGCUCGAGAAUCCAACAUCUUUAGAGG